This 71-nucleotide transfer RNA is filed under the name Aeschrocoris ceylonicus. Its description in RNAcentral is "tRNA-Ile". The record is from RNAcentral. Lineage: Eukaryota; Metazoa; Arthropoda; Insecta; Hemiptera; Pentatomidae.
GAUAAGAUGCCUGAGUAAAAGGACUAUUUUGAUAGAAUAGAUUAUAUAUUAUUAAUUUAAUAUUCUUAUUA